CCUACGGGAGGCAGCAGUGAGGAAUAUUGGUCAAUGGACGAGAGUCUGAACCAGCCAAGUAGCGUGAAGGAUGACUGCCCUAUGGGUUGUAAACUUCUUUUAUAUGGGAAUAAAAUGUUCAACGUGUGGGAUUUUGUAUGUACCAUAUGAUUCAGGAUCGGCUAACUCCGUGCCAGCAGCCGCGGUAAUCCGGAGGAUCCGAGCGUUAUCCGGUGUUAUUGGGUUUAAAGGGAGCGUAGGUGGAUUGUUAAGUCAGUUGGGAAAGUUUGCGGCUCAACCGUAAAAUUGCAGUUGAAACUGGCAGUCUUGAGUACAGUAGAGGUGAGCGGAAUUCGUGGUGUAGCGGUGAAAUGCUUAGAUAUCACGAAGAACUCCGAUUGCGAAGGCAGCUCGCUGGACUGCAACUGACACUGAGGCUCGAAAGUGUGGGUAUCAAACAGGAUUAGAUACCCUAGUAGUC
This 460-nucleotide ribosomal RNA is filed under the name uncultured bacterium. RNAcentral's name for it is "partial 16S ribosomal RNA". It matches the Rfam family "Bacterial small subunit ribosomal RNA", at positions 338 to 795 of the family's 1533-position model. The record is from RNAcentral.